RNAcentral lists this long non-coding RNA (362 nucleotides) under Cyanistes caeruleus (blue tit). RNAcentral's name for it is "lncRNA (ENSCCEG00000018992.1)". Lineage: Eukaryota; Metazoa; Chordata; Aves; Passeriformes; Paridae. The record is from RNAcentral.
AUGUCUUUGGAGUUGAUGGUCUCUCGAUAUCCCCUUGGUUUAAUUCUCCAUUCUUCUGUCUUUUCUCAGAAACACUUUUCUUCUCAUGCUGAGGGUGGCAAUGUGCUUCUGUGGAGGAAGGAUCUUAUGAACACUUGGGUGUUAUGUGUGCUGCAUCCUUACAGAUGGCUCAAAAGCCUGGACACUGGGCACAAGCUCUUAUUCCUGUGGAAUGCUGCUAUUUCGGUGACUUAUGGUGAUGACCUAGUCCCACAUAAAGGACUCUUAACCUGAAUAAUCACUUACCUAGAGAUGCACCAAACAAGCUUUUGGCAAUUGAAAAAGGGUCCAAAGAAUCUCCCACUGGUAAAUAUUUUAUAUUA